Molecule: long non-coding RNA, 395 nt
Organism: Mesocricetus auratus (golden hamster)
Lineage: Eukaryota; Metazoa; Chordata; Mammalia; Rodentia; Cricetidae
Exons: 3
Source: RefSeq, a predicted model, not a curated record
CUUAUUUUUGUCGAGACUACCAGAAUUUUUCACUAUUCAGUUAGCCUGUUGGACUUACAGAUGAUGUUUUGACAAGUGGAAAUACAUGAGGAGGUUGAAAUCAUGACCAACUCUCAUGAGGAAGAAGAUAUAAUGACUUCAGGUUCCUGGUCUAAGAGGUAAUAGGAUGGUCUCUCACUGAGUCUGGAGUCUGUGCUCUUCAUUAGGCUGAAAGAGAGAUAGCUCCAGAGAUCACCCUGCCUUUAUUCAGAGCUAUAAUUACAGACUUGCCAAAGACCAUGCUUGACUUGUUACUUGGGUGAUGGGCUCUGAACAAUGAUUUGCCUAUCUUCACAGCAAACAUGCUUAGCUAGUAAGCCAUCUCUGUAGUCUUGGAGUUAUGUUUUACAGAAAGA